CAGCAUUGGUAUGAGAGAAACCUUAUGUAAAACACAGCUCCCAUGUACUGAACAGCUACCGAAUAUGCCAGAUGCUAUGCAACAUGUAAGGCUGAAGCUGCAGCUGGGUGAACCUCCGUUUCCUCAUCAAUAACACUGGGAUAAUCAUACUCCACAAAGCCUAAGGAAUAAGAAAAUCCCUGAAACGAAGCCUUCAUUACAAAGUCUGGCACUCAGAGGGGGAAGAAUGUUUUGAGAACUGGAAGUAAGAAAUUUCAGAGGAAUUGAGAAAUCAAAUGCUUUGGCCUUCACCUAAAGGGACAAGAAGGCCACUCGGACGGGGCAGGUCUCCCUCCAGGGAUCUUUUUUUUUUUUUUUUUAAACAAGUAUUCAUAUAUUUAUUCCACUCUAACACCUCAGAAUAGAGAACUGAUGCGCAGGCAUCGGCUUCUG
Molecule: non-coding RNA, 432 nt
Organism: Callithrix jacchus (white-tufted-ear marmoset)
Lineage: Eukaryota; Metazoa; Chordata; Mammalia; Primates; Cebidae
Source: RefSeq, a predicted model, not a curated record